GAUGAACGCUGGCGGCGUGCCUAAUACAUGCAAGUCGAGCGAACGGACGAGAAGCUUGCUUCUCUGAUGUUAGCGGCGGACGGGUGAGUAACACGUGGAUAACCUACCUAUAAGACUGGGAUAACUUCGGGAAACCGGAGCUAAUACCGGAUAAUAUUUUGAACCGCAUGGUUCAAAAGUGAAAGACGGUCUUGCUGUCACUUAUAGAUGGAUCCGCGCUGCAUUAGCUAGUUGGUAAGGUAACGGCUUACCAAGGCAACGAUGCAUAGCCGACCUGAGAGGGUGAUCGGCCACACUGGAACUGAGACACGGUCCAGACUCCUACGGGAGGCAGCAGUAGGGAAUCUUCCGCAAUGGGCGAAAGCCUGACGGAGCAACGCCGCGUGAGUGAUGAAGGUCUUCGGAUCGUAAAACUCUGUUAUUAGGGAAGAACAUAUGUGUAAGUAACUGUGCACAUCUUGACGGUACCUAAUCAGAAAGCCACGGCUAACUACGUGCCAGCAGCCGCGGUAAUACGUAGGUGGCAAGCGUUAUCCGGAAUUAUUGGGCGUAAAGCGCGCGUAGGCGGUUUUUUAAGUCUGAUGUGAAAGCCCACGGCUCAACCGUGGAGGGUCAUUGGAAACUGGAAAACUUGAGUGCAGAAGAGGAAAGUGGAAUUCCAUGUGUAGCGGUGAAAUGCGCAGAGAUAUGGAGGAACACCAGUGGCGAAGGCGACUUUCUGGUCUGUAACUGACGCUGAUGUGCGAAAGCGUGGGGAUCAAACAGGAUUAGAUACCCUGGUAGUCCACGCCGUAAACGAUGAGUGCUAAGUGUUAGGGGGUUUCCUCCCCUUAGUGCUGCAGCUAACGCAUUAAGCACUCCGCCUGGGGAGUACGACCGCAAGGUUGAAACUCAAAGGAAUUGACGGGGACCCGCACAAGCGGUGGAGCAUGUGGUUUAAUUCGAAGCAACGCGAAGAACCUUACCAAAUCUUGACAUCCUUUGACAACUCUAGAGAUAGAGCCUUCCCCUUCGGGGGACAAAGUGACAGGUGGUGCAUGGUUGUCGUCAGCUCGUGUCGUGAGAUGUUGGGUUAAGUCCCGCAACGAGCGCAACCCUUAAGCUUAGUUGCCAUCAUUAAGUUGGGCACUCUAAGUUGACUGCCGGUGACAAACCGGAGGAAGGUGGGGAUGACGUCAAAUCAUCAUGCCCCUUAUGAUUUGGGCUACACACGUGCUACAAUGGACAAUACAAAGGGCAGCGAAACCGCGAGGUCAAGCAAAUCCCAUAAAGUUGUUCUCAGUUCGGAUUGUAGUCUGCAACUCGACUACAUGAAGCUGGAAUCGCUAGUAAUCGUAGAUCAGCAUGCUACGGUGAGUACGUUCCCGGGUCU
This 1372-nucleotide ribosomal RNA is filed under the name uncultured bacterium. RNAcentral describes it as "bacterial SSU rRNA". It matches the Rfam family "Bacterial small subunit ribosomal RNA", at positions 28 to 1381 of the family's 1533-position model. The record is from RNAcentral.